Molecule: ribosomal RNA, 492 nt
Filed under: uncultured bacterium
Lineage: Bacteria
Description: partial 16S ribosomal RNA
Rfam family: Bacterial small subunit ribosomal RNA
Source: RNAcentral
AGUGAACGCUGGCGGUAGGCCUAACACAUGCAAGUCGAACGGCAGCACAGUAAGAGCUUGCUCUUACGGGUGGCGAGUGGCGGACGGGUGGGGAAUACAUCGGAAUCUACUUUUUCGUGGGGGAUAACGUAGGGAAACUUACGCUAAUACCGCAUACGACCUACGGGUGAAAGCAGGGGGUCUUCGGACCUUGCGCGAUUGAAUGAGCCGAUGUCGGAUUAGCUAGUUGGCGGGGUAAAGGCCCACCAAGGCGACGAUCCGUAGCUGGUCUGAGAGGAUGAUCAGCCACACUGGAACUGAGACACGGUCCAGACUCCUACGGGAGGCAGCAGUGGGGAAUAUUGGACAAUGGGCGCAAGCCUGAUCCAGCCAUACCGCGUGGGUGAAGAAGGCCUUCGGGUUGUAAAGCCCUUUUGUUGGGAAAGAAAAGCAGCAGGUUAAUACCCCGCUGUUCUGACGGUACCCAAAGAAUAAGCACCGGCUAACUUCGUG